GGACCCUUAGCUUAGCCUGGUUAGAGCACUCGGCUCUUAACCGAGGGAUCGGGGGUUCGAAUCCCCUAGGGUCCG
This 75-nucleotide transfer RNA is filed under the name Candidatus Woesearchaeota archaeon ex4484_78. RNAcentral describes it as "tRNA-Lys". It matches the Rfam family "tRNA". From Rfam's summary of the family: Transfer RNA (tRNA) molecules are approximately 80 nucleotides in length. Their secondary structure includes four short double-helical elements and three loops (D, anti-codon, and T loops). Lineage: Archaea; Nanobdellati; Candidatus Woesearchaeota. RNAcentral also lists the same sequence under 1 other name. The record is from RNAcentral.